GGUUGACCUCGGAUCAGGUAGGAAUACCCGCUGAACUUAAGCAUAUCAAUAAGCGGAGGAAAAGAAACCAACAGGGAUUGCCUCAGUAACGGCGAGUGAAGCGGCAACAGCUCAAAUUUGAAAUCUGGCCUCACGGUCCGAGUUGUAAUUUGUAGAGGAUGCUUUUGGCGAGGUGCUUUCCGAGUUCCCUGGAACGGGACGCCAUAGAGGGUGAGAGCCCCGUACGGUAAGACCACCGAGCCUCUGUAAAGCUCCUUCGACGAGUCGAGUAGUUUGGGAAUGCUGCUCUAAAUGGGAGGUGUACGUCUUCUAAAGCUAAAUACCGGCCAGAGACCGAUAGCGCACAAGUAGAGUGAUCGAAAGAUGAAAAGCACUUUGAAAAGAGGGUUAAAAAGUACGUGAAAUUGUUGAAAGGGAAGCAUUCAUGACCAGACUUGGGCUUGGUUGAACAUCCGGCGUUCUCGCCGGUGCACUCUGCCAGUCCAGGCCAGCAUCAGUUUGCCCCGGGGGACAAAGGCGGUGGGAAUGUGGCUCUCUUCGGGGAGUGUUAUAGCCCGCCGUGUAAUGCCCUGGGGCGGACUGAGGAACGCGCUUCGGCACGGAUGCUGGCGUAAUGGUCAUCAAUGACCCGUCUUGAAACACGGACCAAGGAGUCGUCUUCGUAUGCGAGUGUUCGGGUGUCAAACCCCUACGCGUAAUGAAAGUGAACGUAGGUGAGAGCUUCGGCGCAUCACCGACCGAUCCUGAUGUUCUCGGAUGGA
This 761-nucleotide ribosomal RNA is filed under the name Sarocladium strictum. RNAcentral's name for it is "partial large subunit ribosomal RNA". It matches the Rfam family "Eukaryotic large subunit ribosomal RNA", at positions 1 to 788 of the family's 3401-position model. The record is from RNAcentral. Lineage: Eukaryota; Fungi; Ascomycota; Sordariomycetes; Hypocreales; Sarocladiaceae.